GGGGAUGUAGCUCAGUGGUAGAGCGCACUCUUCGCAUGUGUGAGGCCCCGGGUUCAAUCCCCGGCAUCUCCA
Ciona savignyi (Pacific transparent sea squirt) is the source of this 72-nucleotide non-coding RNA. NCBI's taxonomy places the organism in Eukaryota, Metazoa, Chordata, Ascidiacea, Phlebobranchia, Cionidae. The record is from Rfam.